AUGUCUCUCCUGCCGCAUGCCACGGUGUUCCUGUUCAUCUUCCUAGUGGCCUCACCGUCUCAGGUUCAUGCUCGGGUUGCUCCGGAUGAUCGGCACGCGCAUGGCGGCCAAGGCGAUGCUCCGGUGACGCUGACGCCAGCUUAUGCACCAGGGAACGACGGCGCUGGUCGUGGCCGGACGCUUUGGUCGACGCCGAGCGAUGGUGUUGGCCAUUAG
This 216-nucleotide ribosomal RNA is filed under the name Triticum aestivum (bread wheat). RNAcentral's name for it is "partial small subunit ribosomal RNA". The record is from RNAcentral. Lineage: Eukaryota; Viridiplantae; Streptophyta; Magnoliopsida; Poales; Poaceae.